Molecule: unclassified non-coding RNA, 1210 nt
Filed under: Caenorhabditis elegans
Lineage: Eukaryota; Metazoa; Nematoda; Chromadorea; Rhabditida; Rhabditidae
Description: Non-coding transcript of protein-coding gene sas-5
Source: RNAcentral
AUGAAUAAUUACGACGACUUACCCUGCUCUAUUUACUUCAAAAAACCAACUGGAGUUUGUGGAUCAACCGAGAGUCUUCGAAGAUUCUGAAGUCCCUGCCUUUCAAGAAGUUCUUCAGCUUCCACAAGAAAGGACAAAACCCCCAGUACCAUCUACGCAGCCAAUUGUCGCCGCUGUAGAAGUAGCCAAGAAAAAAUCGUGUCUUUCGGCUCCGAAACCAAGAAAAGAGCCACCUUCGCAUCCAGCGCUUCGCCAAAAAACAGUUGCGUUUGGAAAAACAGUUAACGUUUCCCAAACUGUCGAGGGAACAUCUCGGAAUUCAAAAAAAGUGCUUGCUUCAACAAUGUCUGCCCAAAAUACGACAACGACUGAAGAACAGGCAGCUGAAAACUGGCGGGACGCUAUGAAAACAGAACUGCAAACGAUACGAACAGAGAUUCAAGAAGAAACGGCCCGGCGACAAGAAGAGCUCAAUGCUCAAAAUCUUGUUAAAAUGCAAGAAUUGAUGUCAAACUUCUUUCAGAAGAUAACGAUUCCUAAACAGCAAGCGAUCGAACCAGUUGAAAAAGACAAAGAAAAUUUUCAUGAGAGUCCUCGUCAAUCAAGACAGCAGAAGCCAGCUAGUAAAAUCGCUUCGGCACGAGAAGUUAUCAAAAGAGACGGUGUUAUACCUCCAGAAGCAUUAACAAUUAUUGAGCAACGCCUUCGCUCGGACCCAAUGUUUCGCCAACAAAUUGAUAAUGUUCUAGCAGACGCUGAAUGUGAUGCUAACAGAGCUGCAUAUUCUCCACCACCACCAAUGUCUGAAGUUAGAUACGGAUCUGGUGUGAAUCCUGCUUUGAUGAGAGAAACACUUACGGUAGAACGAAGUAUUCGAUAUGACAACGGACUCGCUUCUAUUGAUUCUAGACAGUGGACAAAUGAGAGACGUGAUAAUCGUGCUCCUGACUCAUACCGUACCUACGAACCGGAUCAACCAUGUCACUCACUCUAUCAAAAGGGUCAAAGUAUUAGCUAUUAUCCGUCAGAAGCAGCUGGAAAAACGACAGCUAGAAACAAUCGAACUGGAUACUACGUGGAAGAUUCAUCAGAUCAUGAAGAGGAUGUUGUAGUCAAUAAACGGGGACAGAACUAUCACGAGCAAGCGGUACCUGAGACUCCAGCUGAACGAGAACGCCGUAUUCGUGAAAAAUACGCUCGCAGGAAAUGA